AUUGAACGCUGGCGGCAUGCCUUACACAUGCAAGUCGAACGGUAACAGGUCUUCGGAUGCUGACGAGUGGCGAACGGGUGAGUAAUACAUCGGAACGUGCCCGAUCGUGGGGGAUAACGAGGCGAAAGCUUUGCUAAUACCUCAUACGAUCUACGGAUGAAAGCGGGGGAUCUUCGGACUUCGCGCGGACGGAGCGGCCGAUGGCAGAUUAGGUAGUUGGUGGGAUAAAAGCUUACCAAGCCGACGAUCUGUAGCUGGUCUGAGAGGAUGAUCAGCCACACUGGGACUGAGACACGGCCCAGACUCCUACGGGAGGCAGCAGUGGGGAAUUUUGGACAAUGGGCGAAAGCCUGAUCCAGCCAUGCCGCGUGCAGGAUGAAGGCCUUUGGGUUGUAAACUGCUUUUGUACGGAACGAAAAGCCUCUUUCUAAUAAAGAGGGGUCAUGACGGUACCGUAAGAAUAAGCACCGGCUAACUACGUG
RNAcentral lists this ribosomal RNA (482 nucleotides) under uncultured bacterium. Its description in RNAcentral is "partial 16S ribosomal RNA". It matches the Rfam family "Bacterial small subunit ribosomal RNA", at positions 30 to 507 of the family's 1533-position model. The record is from RNAcentral.